This 436-nucleotide ribosomal RNA is filed under the name uncultured Pseudomonadota bacterium. RNAcentral describes it as "bacterial SSU rRNA". It matches the Rfam family "Bacterial small subunit ribosomal RNA", at positions 8 to 492 of the family's 1533-position model. The record is from RNAcentral. Lineage: Bacteria; Pseudomonadati; Pseudomonadota.
AGAGUUUGAUUCUGGCUCAGAACGAACGCUGGCGGCAGGCCUAACACAUGCAAGUCGAACGCACCGCAAGGUGAGUGGCAGACGGGUGAGUAACACGUGGGAACCUUCCCUAUAGUACGGAAUAGCCCAGGGAAACCUGGAGUAAUACCGUAUACGCCCGAGAGGGGAAAGAAUUUUCGCUAUAGGAUGGGCCCGCGUAGGAUUAGCUAGUUGGUGAGGUAAUGGCUCACCAAGGCGACGAUCCUUAGCUGGUUUGAGAGAACGACCAGCCACACUGGGACUGAGACACGGCCCAGACUCCUACGGGAGGCAGCAGUGGGGAAUAUUGGACAAUGGGCGAAAGCCUGAUCCAGCCAUGCCGCGUGAGUGAUGAAGGCCUUAGGGUUGUAAAGCUCUUUUGCCGGGGACGAUAAUGACGGUACCCGGAGAAUAAGUC